This 116-nucleotide small nuclear RNA is filed under the name Ipomoea nil (Japanese morning glory). RNAcentral describes it as "U5 spliceosomal RNA". It matches the Rfam family "U5 spliceosomal RNA". From Rfam's summary of the family: U5 RNA is a component of both types of known spliceosome. The precise function of this molecule is unknown, though it is known that the 5' loop is required for splice site selection and p220 binding, and that both the 3' stem-loop and the Sm site are important for Sm protein binding and cap methylation. Lineage: Eukaryota; Viridiplantae; Streptophyta; Magnoliopsida; Solanales; Convolvulaceae. The record is from Rfam by way of RNAcentral.
AGCCAUGCAAUGAGCACAUAGCGAACUAUUCUUUAGCCUUUUACUAAAGAAUACUGUGUGCGCAUUGUAAUUAGUGGCAUACGCCAAUUUUUAGAGAACGCCUCUAAAAAGAGGAC